UUAUUAAUUAGUUUUCAGAAAGUUAUUUUCGACCAUUUCCCUUCAAAAACCCUAACCCUCUCUCUGUCUCCCACUCCGCCCAUCGCCGAUGCCCCGCCGCCCCCCAUUUUUCUAUUCUGUUCUCUCAUAGCUUCAUCCUCUUGUGAGGCAUUGCUAGUUUCUCCCAUUCUUCUUCUCAACAAGGAACCAACAGGUCUGUCUUCCUUCUCCUCCCACUUCUUACACUCAUGUCUAACUUCUUUCGCACAAUCCUUCUACUUAGAUCUCCAUCCUCACUCUUUUCUCACGGAUUUUCCCAAAGUCCGUUCAAAUCUCUCAGAUACUUAUCCACCUCUUCUGAGAUUGUAUCAUCUCCCAAAUCUGCUUCGUUGCCUUCUAAUGCUGUUCAGCUCAAUAAUAAUUCGAAGGCUGUAAUUGGGUUACUUGCGAAUCAUGGAUUCUCUGAAUCACAAAUCUCUGACCUUGCCAAGAGGUAUCCUCAAAUUAUUUCUAUGAACCCCGAGAAAAUCCUAUCGCCCAAAUUGUUGUUUUUUCAAUCUAAAGGUCUUUCUUCCCCAGAGAUUGUCAAAUUAGUAUGUUCAGUUCCCUGUGUUUUAACAGGAAGUUUAAACAAACGAAUUAUUCCAUCCUUUGAUUACAUUCAAGCCGUGCUUGGAAGUGAGGAGAAGACUCUCACUGCUAUAAAGCGCUUUCCGGGUAUUCUCGGUUGGGAUCUUCGAACUUCAGUUGGUCCCAAUAUUGAAAUUCUGAAACAAAUUGGAGUGCCGGAUUCAAAUAUUUCAAGUUAUCUUCAGCGGCAGCCUAAAAUGUUCUUAACAAGUUCCAUCCGAUUCAAGAAGGCUGUAGAGAGAGUUACGGAAAUGGGAUUCAACCCUCAACGAUUGCAGUUUGUUGUUGCUGUUUUUGCUCUGCGAUCAAUGACCAAAUCUACAUGGGAUGAGAAGGUUGAAGGUUAUAGGAAAUGGGGAUUGUCUGAAGAAGAGAUCCGUUUAGCUUUUAGAAAAAAUCCACGUUGUAUGAGUGCUUCUGAGGAUAAGAUUAAUGGUGCAAUGGAUUUUUUUGUCAACAAAAUGGGAUGUGAACCAUUUUUGGUUGCUAGAACACCAACUUUAGUUUCAUAUAGUUUGAAGAAGAGGAUUUUGCCUAGAGGCUACGUUUAUCAAGUUUUGGUGUCAAAGUGUUUGAUUAAGAAGUACGCGCAUUUUGCUUUGUUUUUUAACUCUUCUGCAAACCUUUUCAUAGACAAAUUCAUCAACCCUCAUAAGGAGCAGAUUCCUGAAUUGUUGGAGUUGUAUAAAGAGAAAUUAAUGGAUUUAGAAGAUGAACAGAUUUUGGUCAAUUUCAAACGCAAUAAAAUAUGAGAGAGAAAAGAAAAGAAGGGAAAACAGCAGGGAAGAAGAAGAGAACGAGAGAAAAAGAAUAAAGAGGGAAGAGAGAAGAACAAGCGUUGUGACGAGGAAAUAUACUAUAUUGUGAAGGGUUAUGCUUUGUAAAAGGAACAAAGAAAGUCUCCAUGAAGCCCCUACCACCCGAACGCCCAUGGUGACCCAUCCAUCACGCCCAGUGACUUAGCACCCAGCGUUCACACACACCUUCAACUUCCGGCCACUCUUUCAAUAAUUGACACCAGGUUAUUUUUUCUUCUUUUCUUUUCUUGUAUUUUAGAAUUUUUGUUUUGUUAUUGCAAUUAAUUUUAACAGUUAGUUAAUGGGUGUUGCAUAAUUGGUUUCUUCAUAUACUGAAAUCCUUAAUUCGUGUAUUUAGUUGGUUGUAAUGUGACGAACAACGGAAAAUUCCAAGUUACGCCCAUAAUGUGUUUGAUGAAAUGCUUGUAAGAAAGAUGGUUGUACCUUAUUCGGAUUUUUGUGAACAAACACUUCUUUAAUCCAUGUUCGGUAGCAUGUUGAUCUUAGAAGUCCAAAGCGGUCGAAUCUCAUGUAUAUACUUGUGGUGUAUAAAUUAUAAUUUGAAUCUCAAUUUUAACAAUCUAAUUGUUGUUUCAAAAACUUUUCUUUCUUAGUUAUUUCAACUUUUAUUUGCCUCAUUUCAAGAUUUUUUCAACUUUAUCAGUGUGGUUUUUUUCUUAAUGAUGGAUUUUUUUUUAAGAAAAUGAACAAUUUGUUAAGUUUUGAUUCUUCAUUCCAGCUGAGAGAACUCAAAACUCAAGUCCAUUCUCCAUUAAACUCAAAACAUCAUUAAAUACACUGAUUUAGCACAGAGAUUUUCCUUCAAACCUCAGUUAAAGUCACAUGGUUUGGUUUUUGACCAUUUACAACUCUAGAUGGUAGCUGGUUUGGACUAGAGUUUUGGAGACCAAAUUUUAAAUGGAGUCACCUGUGAGAGUUCACCAGCGUGGAAUAGUAUGUGUUGCAUGAGAAAGAAAUUGCGUUCAAUAUUUUAGAGGUUUUUUUUUAAAACUAAAGGGUAAUUUAAACAUCUACAUGUACAUUUGUCCCAAAACUCUUCCUUUUAAAAUUUGGUGUCCAAAACUUUCUUUCCCAUUAGACUUCAACUUUGUCUUUUGUUUUUUUCUAUCGAGUAUUCAGAAACGGGUUGGUUUUAAAAAAAUCUACUUUCGACCAUUUCCCUUCAAAAACCCUAAACCCCUUCCUUCCUUCAUUUUCUCAUUUUCUUUGUUCUCUCUCACUCUCUCACUCUCUCACUCUCCCACUCUGCCGAUCGCCGAUACCCCGCCGUCGCCAAUUUUUCUUUUCUCUUCUCUCAUAGCUUCAUCCUCUUGUGAGGCAUUGCUAGUUUCUCCCAUUCUUCUUCUCAACAAGGAACCAACAGGUCUGUCUUCCUUCUCCUCCCACUUCUUACACUCAUGUCUAACUUCUUUCGCACAAUCCUUCUACUUAGAUCUCCAUCCUCACUCUUUUCUCACGGAUUUUCCCAAAGUCCGUUCAAAUCUCUCAGAUACUUAUCCACCUCUUCUGAGAUUGUAUCAUCUCCCAAAUCUGCUUCGUUGUCUUCUAAUGCUGUUCAGCUCGAGAAUAAUGGGAAGGCUCUAAUUGCGUUACUUGAGAAUCAGGGAUUCUCUCAAUCACAAAUCUCUGACCUUGCCAUGAGGUUUCCUAGAAUUCUUUCUAUGAACCCCGAGAAAAUUCUAUUGCCCAAAUUGUUGUUUCUUCAAUCUAAAGGGCUUUCUUCCCCAGAGGUUGUCAAAAUAGUAUGUACAGUUCCUAAUUUUUUUACAGGAAGUUUAAACAAACGAAUUAUUCCAGCCUUUGAUUAUAUUCAAGCCGUGCUUGGAACUGAGGAGAAGACUCUCAAUGCCAUAAAGCGCUUUGCGGGUGUUCUCGUGAAGGAUCUUCGAAUUUCAGUUGGUCCCAAUAUUGAAAUUCUGAAACAAAUUGGAGUGCCCGAUUCAAAUAUUUUAAAAUAUCUUCAGUACCAGCCUAGAACUUUCUUGAUAAACCCCAUCCGAUUCAAGGAGAUAGUAGAGAGAGUUACGGAAAUGGGAUUCAACCGUCAACAAUUGCAGUUUCUUGUUGCUGUUUUUGCUCUGCGAGCAAUGACCAAAUCUACAUGGGAUAAGAAGGUUGAAGUUUAUAGGAAAUGGGGAUUGUCUGAAGAACAGAUCUGUUCUGCUUUUAGAAGGCAUCCAUGGUGUAUGAUGGGUUCUGAGGAUAAGAUUAAUGGUGCAAUGGAUUUUUUUGUCAACAAAAUGGGAUGCAAAUCAUCUUUCGCUGCUACAAGACCAAUCUUAGUUUCACUUAGUAUGAAGAAGAGGCUUUUGCCUAGAGGCCAUGUUUAUCAAGUUUUGGUGUCAAAGGGAUUGAUUAAAAACGCGAAUUUUACUUCGUUGUUUUGCUCUUCUGAAAAGCGUUUCAUAGAAAAAUACAUCAACCUUCAUAAGGAGCAGAUUCCUGGAUUGUUGGAGUUGUAUGAGCAGAAAUUAGUGGAGUCUAGAAGAUGAACAGGUUCGAUGUUCUUGAAAUGUUAAUAAUUAAACUGUUUGUUAUUAGUUGAAAUGUGUAGUGACAAAGUAGCAACUAAAAUUUAUAUAUGUUAAAGAGAAUGUGUUUCUACAUAAUCAGUUUUUAGAUUGCUAACUAAAUAAUGACUUCUUUAGAACCGCUUUGCCUCAUAUUUGGAUAUUGUCCCUUUGCUCAACAUUGUUGGAGUUUGCAUUAUUUCAGCUU
Molecule: RNA transcript, 4145 nt
Organism: Cucumis sativus (cucumber)
Lineage: Eukaryota; Viridiplantae; Streptophyta; Magnoliopsida; Cucurbitales; Cucurbitaceae
Gene name: transcription termination factor MTERF6, chloroplastic/mitochondrial
Exons: 3
Source: RefSeq, a predicted model, not a curated record